This 433-nucleotide ribosomal RNA is filed under the name uncultured bacterium. RNAcentral's name for it is "partial 16S ribosomal RNA". It matches the Rfam family "Bacterial small subunit ribosomal RNA", at positions 29 to 507 of the family's 1533-position model. The record is from RNAcentral.
AACGAACGCUGGCGGCAUGCCUAACACAUGCAAGUCGAACGAGACCUUCGGGUCUAGUGGCGCACGGGUGCGUAACGCGUGGGAACCUGCCCUUAGGGUCGGAAUAACUCCCCGAAAGGGGUGCUAAUACCGGAUAAUGUCUUCGGACCAAAGAUUUAUCGCCUUUGGAUGGGCCCGCGUUGGAUUAGCUAGUUGGUAGGGUAAAAGCCUACCAAGGCGACGAUCCAUAGCUGGUCUGAGAGGCUGAUCAGCCACACUGGGACUGAGACACGGCCCAGAAUCCUCCGGGAGGCAGCAGUGGGGAAUAUUGGAACAUGGGCGAAAGCCUGAUCCACCAAUGCCGCGUGAGUGAUGAAGGCCUUAGGGUUGUAAAGCUCUUUUACCCGGGAUGAUAAUGACAGUACCGGGAGAAUAAGCUCCGGCUAACUCCGUG